AGACCACUAGGCACUGGCACUCACAUACAUUCUCCAGCUGCAUACUUCACACUGUACUCAGCGCGUGCCAUGGCAACCUGCAGGAGCCUUCUCAUGGUCCCGGUCACUCUCUGCUUCUUCCUCCUCGUGCUCCCAGCACAGAGCAAGGAGAACCUUGCCGUCGUCAUCUUCUACGGCACAGCCCGAUGCAAGAGCAACCCCUCCAAGAUCAUCAGCAGUAAGCGAUCUUAUAUUAACUGAUAUACUCGAUCAUGGACCCAAACUUCAGCUAUCAUACGCUAUAGUAUAUCAUAUGUAUAAUCCACUCCUGCAUGCAGAUGCAACCCUGCAUGUGACCAUCAAUGGCACCACCCUCGCCACCGGCAAAACGACGAGCAUGGGCCGGUUCUUGAUGGCGGCGAGGGUGACCUCAAAAGAUCAGCUCAGCUCCCUGGUGAGCAAAAAGGCGGUCAUCACCGCUCCUCGACAGGCGUGCGGCAUGCCUGCAGCGUCCGUCGCUGCGAGGAAGCUGGCUGCACAGGCGGACCUGAAUGGCCACAGGAUUCUCGCCGACAAUUCUGGCGACUUGGUUGAUGAUGAUGAUAUCCGGGAGAUAAUUGAUCUGCUCGGUGACCCUACAGUCCCCGAUCCUAUACAAAGACUCAUUGAUGAUAUCUUGAGUUCGGGUGAGACUAGUGCAGGCUAUAUGGACAAUAUCACCGUCUUCACUGAUCAGGUGCCAGUGCCGGAGGUUGCUGCCUUCUGGAAUUUCAUUGAGAACAGUGGAUUGGACGCCUCUGUUUUCGUGGACGUCCUCAACAACUUCGUGGGCAUACCCAAUAUUGAGAGGAAUAUUUAAGGCAUUGUUUGGAUAAAUCAAUCUUAAUACACAUAGAUUGAGAUGGAGAAUAAACACUACCACAUAAUGAGUUAUCCCAUAUGGCACUAUCACCAACGAUUUUAGGUAAACUGGCUGUAAUAUGUAUCAUCGCCGGUUCUAAAAUAAAUGGGGUUGUGGGAUGUUAGAACUGGCAGUGAAGCCAUCACCGCCGGUUCCAAUCAUAAACCGGCGGUGAAAGUCAACACCGUCGGCUCUUAUAAAAAUCCGUCGGUGAAACGGUCCGAUCGGAUCGAAAUCUUUUUCAAAUCCAGUUAAGCGUGCUUGACGUCCGCGCUCUCCCCUCCCCCUCCGCCACUUCUCCCUUUCUCUCCCCCAGUCCCACUUCUCUCCUCCCUCUCUCCUUAUCCUGCAAGCCCCCUCACUCCCUCCACCACCGAACCCCUCCCCCCUCCCUGUCCAUUGGGCCCCUCCUUCCCUCCCUCCCUCCCCAGCCUCCCCUCUCCUCCCCCUUUGCUCACCCCUCACCUCGUGCCUGAGGUGAGAAGCGGCGGCGGGGCGAGGCGUGGCGGGCCGACCAUCGGGGCACGGAGCGGCAACGGCUAGCGGGCUCGGCGUGACAGGAUGUAGCAGUGCGGACGAAGCGGCAGCGGUGGCAAGAUCCGGGGGUGACGGCGGCGGCGAAAUCCGGUGCACUUCCCCCUCUCCCUCUCCCCCUCCCUCCCUCCCCCCCUCUCUCCCCUCUCCCUUUCCCUCCCUCCCUCCCUCUCCCCUACCCCUGCCGGACCUACCCCUCUCCCGGCCGCAUCCUGGCGGCUGCGCCCGGCCGCCCCUCUCCCACGACCCACCGGCCACCCGUUCUUCGGCGGUCCGGUGAGGAGGAGCGGCGGCUGGCUAGGAAGAACGGGUGGCCGGCAGGUCGCGAGGAGGGGCGACCGGGCGCGGCCGGCGGGAUGCGGGGCUGAGCGUGGAUUUUUUUUAUUUUUUAAUACGGCUUCACCGUCGAUUCCAGAACUGGCAGUGAUUCUAAUCACUGUCGAAAGUCAAAUGAUGGACCAAAAAACAGCGGUGCAGGCUGGUUUGGAGCCGGCGGUGAUGUACCUUUGUGGAGCAGUGAAACUGAUUUCUCUAACAAUCCCUCAUAAUACGUGUGGAUUGGAGGGUACGCAAAAGAAGUCUAAUAUAUAAUGUUAAUCCCAUUAUACAGAGGAUCCAUGUUUCCGUUCCUGUUGUUUGUUUCUAGGAAAAAAUCAUUUUACUCCCUCCACCUAUUUACUUUGUCAACCCCACCCCCUAACCUAUAUGUUGGCUCAAUUUAAUCCCUUCACCUAUUAAUUCCGAAUCAAAUUACCCCCUAAGCAAUAUUUCCAUCAUAAUUUACCUACGUGGCAUUGUUAUGACCGAGUCAAUUCACGUUUGAGGCCAACUAAGCAGUCUGAUGUGGACUGCGAUAGCUGAGUCACAAAAUCGAGCCGAUCUAUAAGCCGUGCCCUAAGCUAUAUCCACAUGGAUGACCGUGACGCCCUUCCCAGAAGCGCAGCCCUGCCACACGAGCGCGUGGAGGUCACCGUCCAUGGCCUCCACCUCUUCCUUUGAUAUCCUCUGGAACGAAGCCGUCGGAAGGGGCACGAACUGACGAUCCUUGAGCCGCUCGUGCCGUUGCUGAAGCUAGCCUGCUUUGCUCACCCUAUCCAUCACUGCCUUCACCACCACCUCUGCGGCGACGGCGCUCUCGCCGAUGACAACCACACAUCGCUUGCUCCAGCUCGCCAUGUAGUCCAGCACGUGCAUGGCGCCAUCAGCGGCGUUGGCUGCGUUGGGGCGCCUCACAUGGUCGGAACCUAGUGGAGAGCUCGUCACCACGUGGCUAGGCAUCUUUUUUGGAUGAUGUUCCGGCGACGAGACAACCUUCGGGACAUUUGACUUGACUUGGGAGCGAGAGAAGCUGGUCUCACGCAUGACGUGGCUGACGCUGGGGUCGUUUGAGGAUGGAAAUGAUGAGUUGCUCAAUCUCGACCUUGGCAGCGGCGGCGAGCUCUGGUUGCGACUGCAGCAGCGGCUGACCUCCUUUGAGGGCGCCCCGGCACUAGGGCGCCUGCGCGCUUGAACGUGGCGACGAGAGCGUUGGACAGCACGGGCACUAUCUAAAACAUGCGGUGGCAUUUUACCUGUGCAAACUAAACCGAUGAAACAAAACAUCAGCAGCGUUUUGGUUAGUGGCCCUGGAAGAUCGGUUUCAGGCUCUAGGGUGAUGGACUUUGCAGCUUGGCGUCCGCUCCGCGCGGACGGAUAUGCGUCAAUGCGUAUUUCGUUUGGAGACAUGCAGCUCGGCUUGUUCUUUUAGCUCGAUGGCCUCGCACUUGUCCACGUCAGUCUGCUUUGUGAGUCUCAAACGUGAAUUGAUUCGGUCAAAACCAUGCCAGGUAAGCAAAUUAUGAUGGAAAUUCUUCUUAGGGGGUAAUUUGACCCAAUAUUAAUAGGUGAAGGGAUUAAAUUGAGCCAAUAUAUAGCUUAGGGGGUGGGUGGACAAAGUAAAUAGGUGGAGAGAGUAAGAUAGACUUUUUCCCAUGUUUCUAUCGGUCAUUAAUCCAUUAAUGUGUAAUCAUACCCCAAUCCCAUACACACCGUACCUGAUACCACUCCACCGCCUUAACUAGCUAGAAAAGUAUGCGGCACUCAUACAACAAAUAUAACAAAAAAAGUAGGAAAUGAUACGUUGCCAUGCCUAGCUCGGAUGCUAGCGGCAUUGCUCUGGAUUAAACCGCAGCCGUUCCCACACCACCCCAUUAUGGCAACAUGAGAGCUCCUCCGCGUGUAACUGCGGCAGCACUUUUCUCUCAGUUCUUAACUUUCUCCUCAAUUUGGUUUAAAUCCAAUGCUAUGGCAUGAGGAAGGGGACGAUGAAAACAUCUGCACCAACGGAAAGGUUGUCUUCAUCUGCGAUAGAGCUUUCCUGAAGUCAAAACCAAUACAAGUCGGUAUGUAUACUAUAAAAAUUACCAGAAACAUAAAUCUAGGAAACAAAACAAAUCAAGGACCAUUUAACAAAAGUAAAACAAAAACAAGAAGAUGGGGACAAAAUGUAAACAACAACCAUGAGCCUCGGAAGGGACAUGGUCUAUUCUCCAAACUCUUGCCACACAACAGGGCGUAGCCAGCGUGAUGCAUGGGUAUUCCGAGGAAUACCCAAAAAUCAACUAUAUAUCAUAUAUAUACAACGUAUACAGGUUAUAAAAGUGACCGUUGGCCUAGCAUUCAGGCAUCAACACCGCCCUAGCCAUCGGAAUUGAGUUGCUCCUGCUUGUCGUUCGUUCCUCAGCCUCCAAAUUGAAAUCGGACCUAGACUUUUGUAUAUACAUAGAUUUUGCUAUAUAUCUAGGUAUAAUUUUAUAUCUACAUGUGUAUAAUAAAAUCUAUAUAUAUCUAGAAAAUAUCAAAACGAACAUUUUGGAACAGAGGUAGUAGCCUUUUACCACAUGUCAGUUCAAAUGUCAUGAUUUUCGCAAAUCAUCAGUCAGAGGUGCUGCUAGCGCCCGGGUUGUGGAGAGCACAAAAAAACAUUUUAUUUGGUUAGCGAAGGAGGGGUGGUGAGAGGCUGAGAGCGGACUCAACAAUGGAGGCAUUGCCGAAGUAUAUCUAGAGGGUUGUAGUUUUGCUGCCGGUUCUCUCUCCGCUACGGUGCGGAAUAUGCCAUCCAAUAACCUUUGCGAAAUUGCCACCUAAUAUAAACCCUAGCAAUUCAAGUGUUUUCAGUACUGAUAAAUUUUUUUAGAAAAAGGAAUUGUCUCCGACCUCUACAACCAUACACAGUCAUGUUUUUACAAAAUCGUUUCUGCACUAACAAGUGGAGCCAGUGAAUCUACAGCACCACAAGCAAUUACGUGCCCAUUGCCCUCUGGACUCUAGUACAUGUCAGUGCAAUAUGUUUAGCUUUAUAAUUUUAGUUUUUCCCUCGAAAACGUGGCUGAGCUUUGUUAUUCUAGUAUAGACCCUUGUCAUCAAGGAUGAUCGUCAAUGUCGUCACUCUCACCAAAGUCCAUCCCAACACUAAAACAUGUUGGCGAAAAAUACUAUGCAAAUUGCCUAGAAACCUAAAUCCUAUCCAGGAAACAAAAACAAAUCAAAUAACGUUAAAUAAAGAACUAAAAGGAAAACGAAAAGAAGUAGAUAAAAUGUUUUUUUUAAAAAAAUUAUACGGGCUCGCUCAGGCCCAUGUGUGACACGAGUCGAACCGUGUGGUCAUUCUCAUAAAUACCAAGUCCUCCUGCUUUUGUCUACCGAAUUUAUUCUAACAAAGCACUAGAAAGCAAGUGAAAUUGCGUGUGCCAUGCUUUAUCUGUGCACGUGUAAAGCAUUUCGGUGUGAUUUCCUUUUUUUGUACGUGUGGUUUUCUAUGUGUACCGAAUUUAUUUUGUGUGGUUUUUCUAACCUCCUUUUCCAUGGCGUGCUGAUUUUUCUUUUCAGAAAUGUGCGGCCACCAUUUUAUAUGGUACAACGUGUACAGCACUGCGGAGCUGAAAAUAAAAAGGUCAUCUUGGAAUCCUGCAAUGUGCAAAAGUCAGAGGUGCCACCUCUCUCGACACACCCAAACUUGUUUCUCCCAUAUAGCCAUAUAUCGAUACUUUUUCUUCUUAUUUUAUCCUUUUUCCCUUCAUGUGAGGAAAUGUACACUACGAGUACAUCUAUAAUUGUACAUCCAAUAUACGGAUAUUUUUCCUUGCAAAAAAUUAGACAUCUUGACCUCAAGAAACAAAAAAUACACACGUGACAUACGUACUGCCAUUACUAUUUUAUAUAUUUAUGUAGACGCAUGUGACACACCACAUUUUUAAAAUAUGUACGAUUGUACAGUCACCGGCUCCACAUAAUUUUUUUAUAGAAAUUUUAGAACAAAACAUGUUGGUUAAAACAUAUAUUCUUUGAAAUAUAGUCUCUUAGGUAUCAUGCCUUUUUGUGGAGAGGGAAGUUGUUCAUUUCAAAUUGUUCAAAUUUACAUCUGCAAUGUGGAGGUUGAAGAGUAAACAUGGCCCUCCACCUCAAGAGAAAUAAACAUGUUCAGACCAAACCUAUAUCUUCCUUUGGGAGGCCUGCACAAUAACCAGUUAGUACGUCAUUGUAAUAUGGGCUGCAAGGGCUCUUGGCUAUAUAGCCAAUGCACUCAAUACUUCAUUAGCGUGUGACUUGAAGUUGUGGAUCAUACAAGGCACGUUAGCAUUUAAAUUUUACUCUUACUUGGAUCAGACAGUGUCAAACAAAGAACCUUAUCAGUAGGACAAAAUAGGUUGAUUCAUGUGAGACUAAUCAAGCAAGAGUAUGAGCAUUGUAUUUUUUAGGGACCAUAUAUAAUUUUAGAGUCUCGGGAAGUCAAAACCUGGACCAGAGGUUUGGGAUUCUCCAGGGAAAGCAAUUCAAAUUAGUAGUUUGUUUAGUUUUAUAAAAUUUUGAGAUCUGUUUUUAAUUUGCACAUCCUUUAUUAACAAAAACUAGAGCAUUAGAGGUUGAGCCGGCCACUAUGUAAGACGUCUUAAAAGGAGACGCGAGUUAACUCACACAGGAGACGUGUUUUUUUCGCGUCUCCAAAUUUUCGUCUCUGAUGUAAAGUCAUACAAGAUGCGAAAAAUCCGCGUCUCCGAUGUAGAGGGUCAUUGGGGAUGCGUUUUGACGGGACAAACAUAUUGUAGAUGCGUUUAGUUUAUCCGCGUCUCCGAUUCAACAUUGGAGACGUGUUUUAAUUCCACGUCUCUAAUAAGGAUGUCUUCUUUGUGAUAUUGUUACAUAGUGGGCAUUGGGGGUAUCAAGAAGUCAAAACUAGACCAUGUGUAUUGAUAGUUGUGAUCGAUUCUGGCUGACUUUUGAAAUCCUAGCCUACCAAACUUUGCUAAUCAUGCUUAAAUGGUUGCUUGUUUGUCAACUUGGUUGCCCAUGUGAAUGGGUAACGAAAAGGGAGUGCUAUGAGUUUUGCACCUGCUUACCUUUAAUUGGUCUAUAAAUUGUCACCGAGAGAGACCAUGCAUGGGUGCACCAGACCACUAGGCACUGGCACUCACAUACAUUCUCCAGCUGCAUACUUCACACUGUACUCAGCGCGUGCCAUGGCAACCUGCAGGAGCCUUCUCAUGGUCCCGGUCACUCUCUGCUUCUUCCUCCUCGUGCUCCCAGCGCAGAGCAAGGAGAACCUUGCCGUCGUCAUCUUCUACGGCACAGCCCGAUGCAAGAGCAACCCCUCCAAGAUCAUCAGCAGUAAGCGAUCUUAUAUUAACUGAUAUACUCGAUCAUGGACCCAAACUUCAGCUAUCAUACGCUAUAGUAUAUCAUAUGUAUAAUCCAC
Molecule: long non-coding RNA, 7145 nt
Filed under: Setaria italica (foxtail millet)
Lineage: Eukaryota; Viridiplantae; Streptophyta; Magnoliopsida; Poales; Poaceae
Description: long non-coding RNA (SITA_LNC004801)
Source: RNAcentral